This 490-nucleotide ribosomal RNA is filed under the name uncultured bacterium. RNAcentral describes it as "partial 16S ribosomal RNA". It matches the Rfam family "Bacterial small subunit ribosomal RNA", at positions 29 to 507 of the family's 1533-position model. The record is from RNAcentral.
AGUGAACGCUGGCGGUAGGCCUAACACAUGCAAGUCGAACGGCAGCACAGGAGAGCUUGCUCUCUGGGUGGCGAGUGGCGGACGGGUGAGGAAUACAUCGGAAUCUGCUCAGUCGUGGGGGAUAACGUAGGGAAACUUACGCUAAUACCGCAUACGACCUUCGGGUGAAAGAGGGGGCUCGCAAGACCUCUCGUGAUUGGAUGAGCCGAUGUCGGAUUAGCUAGUUGGCGGGGUAAUGGCCCACCAAGGCGACGAUCCGUAGCUGGUCUGAGAGGAUGAUCAGCCACACUGGAACUGAGACACGGUCCAGACUCCUACGGGAGGCAACAGUGGGGAAUAUUGGACGAUGGACGCAAGCCUGAUCCAGCCAUACCGCGUGAGUGAAGAAGGCCUUCUGGUUGUAAAGCCCUUUUGUUGGGAAAGAAAUCUUUCAGGCUAAUACCCUGUGAGGAUGACAGUACCCAAAGAAUAAGCACCGGCUAACUUCGUG